RNAcentral lists this ribosomal RNA (300 nucleotides) under uncultured bacterium. Its description in RNAcentral is "bacterial SSU rRNA". It matches the Rfam family "Bacterial small subunit ribosomal RNA", at positions 775 to 1067 of the family's 1533-position model. The record is from RNAcentral.
GGAUUAGAUACCCUGGUAGUCCACGCCGUAAACGAUGGGUACUAGGUGUUGGGUUGACUUCACGGUUGAUUCGGUGCCGCAGCUAACGCAUUAAGUACCCCGCCUGGGGAGUACGCUCGCAAGGGUGAAACUCAAAGGAAUUGACGGGGGCCCGCACAAGCGGUGGAGCAUGUGGUUUAAUUCGAUGCAACGCGCAGAACCUUACCGGGGCUUAAACUGCUAGGUAACCCCUGUGAAAGCAGGUCUGUUCUUCGGAACGACCUAGUAGAGGUGCUGCAUGGCUGUCGUCAGCUCGUGCCG